AAAACAUGCCACCAACCUCGGAUCUGUUACAAUUACAUAAGCAAACAACUGUUAACUGACCAUAGUUUUUAACAUUUGAAAGAGACUUUUGAAGUCAAAUGAAGGAAUUGGAUAUACUGCUAUUUUCAUUUUUCAACAGUUAAGCAUCACUUCCUAGAUAUCAUUUACUGUCUAAAAAUUAACAAGUCAACAAAAAUUGGAAAAGGCAUCUACAUGAUUGUAUAAAGAUGGCCCAAAGUCAGUAGCAGAGACAAAGUCACAUCAACAGAGAAUUCCAAGGGCAUUGGCAAUUUUUACCGUUUCAUUAUCAUGAGUUCCAG
This 320-nucleotide unclassified non-coding RNA is filed under the name Hevea brasiliensis (rubber tree). Lineage: Eukaryota; Viridiplantae; Streptophyta; Magnoliopsida; Malpighiales; Euphorbiaceae. The record is from RNAcentral.